This 305-nucleotide ribosomal RNA is filed under the name uncultured bacterium. RNAcentral describes it as "bacterial SSU rRNA". It matches the Rfam family "Bacterial small subunit ribosomal RNA", at positions 333 to 655 of the family's 1533-position model. The record is from RNAcentral.
GCUCACCUACGGGGGGCAGCAGUGGGGAAUAUUGCACAAUGGGGGAAACCCUGAUGCAGCGACGCCGCGUGAAGGAUGAAGUAUUUCGGUAUGUAAACUUCUAUCAGCAGGGAAGAAAAUGACGGUACCUGACUAAGAAGCCCCGGCUAACUACGUGCCAGCAGCCGCGGUAAUACGUAGGGGGCAAGCGUUAUCCGGAUUUACUGGGUGUAAAGGGAGCGCAGACGGCAGUGCAAGUCUGGAGUGAAAGCCCGGGGCCCAACCCCGGAACUGCUCUGGAAACUGUGCGGCUAGAGUACUGGAGG